GACGUAGGGCGCGAGCGUUGUCCGGAUUUAUUGGGCGUAAAGGGCGCGUAGGCGGCCGAUCAAGUCAGGCGUGAAAUUCCCGGGCUCAACCUGGGGGCUGCGCUUGAUACUGAUUGGCUUGAAUGCGGGAGAGGAUAGUGGAAUUCCCAGUGUAGAGGUGAAAUUCGUAGAUAUUGGGAAGAACACCGGUGGCGAAGGCGGCUAUCUGGCCCGUAAUUGACGCUGAGGCGCGAAAGCGUGGGGAGCAAACAGG
This 253-nucleotide ribosomal RNA is filed under the name uncultured bacterium. RNAcentral's name for it is "partial 16S ribosomal RNA". It matches the Rfam family "Bacterial small subunit ribosomal RNA", at positions 524 to 776 of the family's 1533-position model. The record is from RNAcentral.